CGCGCGGGUGUUAGUUUUUUAUAAAUGAAUAUUUAUUUGUAUAAGUGAUAAUAUAUAUUUUAAAAUUUACCCGUUUAAUUUUUUUUUUAAUAUGACAUUUCUAAACACAAUAGUUUUAUAGUUUGUAUUGAGUAGUUUUAUUUUAUCAUGUAAAUCCUAAAUUAUAUCAUCUAUUUAUUUAGAAUAUGACGUGUAAAGUCACAC
RNAcentral lists this long non-coding RNA (204 nucleotides) under Brassica napus (rape). Its description in RNAcentral is "long non-coding RNA (BNAP_LNC025849)". Lineage: Eukaryota; Viridiplantae; Streptophyta; Magnoliopsida; Brassicales; Brassicaceae. The record is from RNAcentral.